UGGGGAAUCUUGCCCAAUGGGCGCAAGCCUGAGGCAGCAACGCCGCGUGCGGGAAGAAGGCCUUCGGGUUGUAAACCGCUUUCAGCAGGAACGAAAAUGACGGUACCUGCAGAAGAAGGUGCGGCCAACUACGUGCCAGCAGCCGCGGUGACACGUAGGCACCAAGCGUUGUCCGGAUUUAUUGGGCGUAAAGAGCUCGUAGGCGGUUCGGUAAGUCGGGUGUGAAAACUUUGGGCUCAACCCAAAGCCUGCACCCGAUACUGCUGUGACUCGAGUCCGGUAGGGGAGUGGGGAAUUCCUGGUGUAGCGGUGGAAUGCGCAGAUAUCAGGAGGAACACCGGUGGCGAAGGCGCCACUCUGGGCCGGUACUGACGCUGAGGAGCGAAAGCGUGGGGAGCGAACA
This 403-nucleotide ribosomal RNA is filed under the name uncultured Ilumatobacter sp. RNAcentral describes it as "partial 16S ribosomal RNA". It matches the Rfam family "Bacterial small subunit ribosomal RNA", at positions 355 to 774 of the family's 1533-position model. Lineage: Bacteria; Bacillati; Actinomycetota; Acidimicrobiia; Acidimicrobiales; Ilumatobacteraceae. The record is from RNAcentral.